RNAcentral lists this ribosomal RNA (492 nucleotides) under uncultured bacterium. RNAcentral's name for it is "partial 16S ribosomal RNA". It matches the Rfam family "Bacterial small subunit ribosomal RNA", at positions 29 to 507 of the family's 1533-position model. The record is from RNAcentral.
AGUGAACGCUGGCGGUAGGCCUAACGCAUACAAGUCGAACGGCAGCACAGUAAGAGCUUGCUCUUACGGGUGGCGAGUGGCGGACGGGUGAGGAAUACAUCGGAAUCUACUUUUUCGUGGGGGAUAACGUAGGGAAACUUACGCUAAUACCGCAUACGACCUACGGGUGAAAGCAGGGGAUCUUCGGACCUUGCGCGAUUGAAUGAGCCGAUGUCGGAUUAGCUAGUUGGCGGGGUAAAGGCCCACCAAGGCGACGAUCCGUAGCUGGUCUGAGAGGAUGAUCAGCCACACUGGAACUGAGACACGGUCCAGACUCCUACGGGAGGCAGCAGUGGGGAAUAUUGGACAAUGGGCGCAAGCCUGAUCCAGCCAUACCGCGUGGGUGAAGAAGGCCUUCGGGUUGUAAAGCCCUUUUGUUGGGAAAGAAAAGCAGCAGGUUAAUACCCCGCUGUUCUGACGGUACCCAAAGAAUAAGCACCGGCUAACUUCGUG